Long non-coding RNA from Acyrthosiphon pisum (pea aphid), 1047 nucleotides. RefSeq lists it as uncharacterized. The record is from RefSeq and is a predicted model, not a curated record. The transcript is spliced from 3 exons. Lineage: Eukaryota; Metazoa; Arthropoda; Insecta; Hemiptera; Aphididae.
CUAAGAUUAAUAUUUAGGCAAUAACUCUUUUUGAACUAUUUAUAGCCAAUAUAAUUUUUUUUUUAAUUUUGUAAGUUAUUUUUCAGUAGAAAUUAAACCAAAUCUAUACUAACUUAAUGAUAACAAGAUGAAUUAUUGAGGGACUCUCAUUAGUAAAUAGUUGUGAUAUUCUAGAUUAUAAUAUAUUUUGUUAGACAUUAAUUUAUUAAAGUAUCGCUAUAGGUAGUUCUUAGAUUGUGAAUUAUAAGGUAGGUAUAAUACUAUUUAUUAAAUAUCAUGUUUAUUAUUCUAUAUAGUUCCAGAAUUCCGGAAUAACAUGAUGAACUUUGGUAAGUAUAUCUCAUGUUGAUUGUCACAUUUUUACUGUCCCUUCUCGUUAAAUGCCCCAGAUGACAAAUCAAAUAUUUUUGUUAACUUAUAUCCUGUAUUGAAGGGAUGUGUAUUGAAAAUUUGAAUGUGUUGUAUAUAGCACUGCUAACGCAUGACGCGUAUGACGUUUGAAACUUCCCAAUUUUACCUUAUACCUGAUAUUACAAACGUAUAACUUUGUGAAUGAUUUCCUAAAGAAUACACAUUUUCAUAAUUCCAUAUAACUAGUUGUUAUAUUAUGUUCCUUCAGAAUAAUAUUAUCUUCCUCAGGCGCGGAUCCAGAAAAAAUUUAUGGUGGGGGGGGGGGGCGGCAUCAAAUAUUAUUAAUAGAGUUUAUCAGGGUUUCAUCUGUUAAUAUUUUUUGACAUCAGGAUAAUGAUGAUUAGGUUACCUUUAAGUAGACCAAAAAAUAAUAAAACAAAAAUUUUUUUUUUAAAUAUUUAGGUUACUCAAUUUUACUUUAUUGUUUAUAAAAUAUUUAAUUACAUUACUUUUUCUACAUUUAAGCUACAUUUUACUAUAAUUAAUAAUUUACGAUAAAUUCUAAUCAAAUGUACAACUUAAAAUUAUAGCUUAAUUUUCUUAUUACUUAUGGCUUUCAAAUGGAAUUUUUCUUUUGCUUUUGGAGAAACGUUCAAUUAAUUUUUCCACAUAGAUGUCUAUGUUCCUGUGGAUGUU